AACAGAAGACGGAGCUGAAAGGUACUGUAGACUCUAUUCAUAGCAAGGUGGAGGUGGUACAAAGGGAUGAAAGGUAAUGUAGUCUCUAUUCAUAGCAAGGUGGAGGUGGUACAAAGGGAUGAAAGGUAAUGUAGUCUCUAUUCAUAGCAAGGUGGAGGUGGUACAAAGGGAUGAAAGGUACUGUAGUCUCUAUUCAUAGCAAGGUGGAGGUGGUACAAAGGGAUGAAAGUUACUGUAGUCUCUAUUCAUAGCAAGGUGGAGGUGGUGCAAAGGGAUGAAAGGUAAUGUAGUCUCUAUUCAUAGCAAGGUGGAGGUGGUGCAAAGGGAUGAAAGGUACUGUAGUCUCUAUUCAUAGCAAGGUGGAGGUGGUGCAAAGGGAUGAAAGGUACUGUAGUCUCUAUUCAUAGCAAGGUGGAGGUGGUGCCAAG
RNAcentral lists this long non-coding RNA (428 nucleotides) under Salmo salar (Atlantic salmon). RNAcentral describes it as "lncRNA (ENSSSAG00000109810.1)". The record is from RNAcentral. Lineage: Eukaryota; Metazoa; Chordata; Actinopteri; Salmoniformes; Salmonidae.